AGUGAACGCUGGCGGUAGGCCUAACACAUGCAAGUCGAACGGCAGCACAGUAAGAGCUUGCUCUUACGGGUGGCGAGUGGCGGACGGGUGAGGAAUACAUCGGAAUCUACUUUUUCGUGGGGGAUAACGUAGGGAAACUUACGCUAAUCCCGCAUACGACCUACGGGUGAAAGCAGGGGAUCUUCGGACCUUGCGCGAUUGAAUGGGCCGAUGUCGGAUUAGCUAGUUGGCGGGGUAAAGGCCCACCAAGGCGACGAUCCGUAGCUGGUCUGAGAGGAUGAUCAGCCACACUGGAACUGAGACACGGUCCAGACUCCUACGGGAGGCAGCAGUGGGGAAUAUUGGACAAUGGGCGCAAGCCUGAUCCAGCCAUACCGCGUGGGUGAAGAAGGCCUUCGGGUUGUAAAGCCCUUUUGUUGGGAAAGAAAAGCAGCAGGUUAAUACCCCGCUGUUCUGACGGUACCCAAAGAAUAAGCACCGGCUAACUUCGUG
This 492-nucleotide ribosomal RNA is filed under the name uncultured bacterium. RNAcentral's name for it is "partial 16S ribosomal RNA". It matches the Rfam family "Bacterial small subunit ribosomal RNA", at positions 29 to 507 of the family's 1533-position model. The record is from RNAcentral.